GAUGAAGAACGUAGCGAAAUGCGAUACGUAAUGUGAAUUGCAAAUUCAGUGAAUCAUCGAGUCUUUGAACGCACGUUGCGCCCCCUGGUAUUCCGGGGGGCAUGCCUGUCCGAGCGUCAUUGCUGCCCUCAAGCACGGCUUGUGUGUUGGGCCCCGUCCUCCGAUCCCGGGGGACGGGCCCGAAAGGCAGCGGCGGCACCGCGUCCGGUCCUCGAGCGUAUGGGGCUUUGUCACCCGCUCUGUAGGCCCGGCCGGCGCUUGCCGAUCAACCCAAAUUUUUUAUCCAGGUUGACCUCGGAUCAGGUAGGGAUACCCGCUGAACUUAAGCAUAUCAAUAAGCGGAGGA
RNAcentral lists this unclassified non-coding RNA (346 nucleotides) under soil metagenome. RNAcentral describes it as "partial contains 5.8S ribosomal RNA, internal transcribed spacer 2, and large subunit ribosomal RNA". The stretch from base 1 to 119 matches the Rfam family "5.8S ribosomal RNA", at positions 35 to 154 of the family's 154-position model. The record is from RNAcentral.